GCGGGAUUGGUCUAAUUGGCAACGGCAUGAGGCUUAAAACUUCAGGUUUGUGGGUUCAAGUCCCACAUCCCGUACCA
This 77-nucleotide transfer RNA is filed under the name Pectobacterium phage Arno162. RNAcentral describes it as "tRNA-Leu". It matches the Rfam family "tRNA". Rfam says of the family: Transfer RNA (tRNA) molecules are approximately 80 nucleotides in length. Their secondary structure includes four short double-helical elements and three loops (D, anti-codon, and T loops). The record is from RNAcentral. RNAcentral also lists the same sequence under 1 other name. Lineage: Duplodnaviria; Heunggongvirae; Uroviricota; Caudoviricetes; Andersonviridae.